RNAcentral lists this ribosomal RNA (252 nucleotides) under uncultured bacterium. Its description in RNAcentral is "partial 16S ribosomal RNA". It matches the Rfam family "Bacterial small subunit ribosomal RNA", at positions 524 to 776 of the family's 1533-position model. The record is from RNAcentral.
UACGGAGGGUGCGAGCGUUGUCCGGAUUCACUGGGCGUAAAGGGCGCGUAGGCGGCCGAGUCAGUCGGCUCUUUAAGAGCGGGGCUUACCCCCGUUAUGGGGUCGGGACGGCUUGGCUGGAGCGCGGUAGAGGGAGACGGAAUGCCGGGUGUAGUGGUGAAAUGCGUAGAGAUCCGGAGGAACACCAGUGGCGAAGGCGGCUCGCUGGACCUGACCUGACGCUGAGGCGCGAAGGCGUGGGGAGCGAACGGG